AGGAGGAUUUCACCUGGUGCCCGGACCGGACGGAGGCGCCUGCAGUGUCUGUGGAGCACAUCCAGUGCCGGCGCUACCCCAGGGGCCACGGUCUGCAGGGACAGCCCCUUCCAGAAGGACGAGGACCUGGUGUGGGAUCGGCUCCUCUCCUGGCAGCAGCUCUCCAGAGGUUGCCAGCACCUCAUGCCAUGGGAACGGCACCACUCGGCCUGCCAGGCUUGGGGGGCUGGAGGGCAGCAAGUGUUCAUUUGCUGUCAAAAAUAAAUUGGUUUGGUUUUUUUUUUUUUGUCAUCGUCAUCAUCAGAGCGUUUCUUUCAAUCCUUUUCUAAACUUUUGGCCUCCUGUGAUAAAUGGAUGUGAUUUGUGCUGACAAAAUUGUAAUUAUAUCAAUAUUUUUGGAAUAUAAUUGGAUAGGUGUAUGUGAUGCAUGGUAUGAAGCAGAAGGGUUUCUUUGUAGAUGAUACAUGUAGGAAAUAGGAUACAGGAGAUUGGAAUGGCCUUGAUGAACAAAAGUUAGGAAGACUCCCAAGUCAGAAUUGGCAUCAAGACGAAGUUAGGACAACUCCCAGGACAGGAUCGGCCAUGACAUGAAUAACGCUGGGACGAUUCCAGGCAGGGAGUCUAAAGUAGCAUUCCUAUCUAUAAAAUAAUAAGGCUUAAUUGGAACACAGUGCUUACUUACAUAACACAGGACUUGGGGCACAUGCACGGCCUGUCAGGUUAUUCAGAGGACAGCGAGGAAGACUGUUGGCCUUCCUCCAAGGAGAGCCCCAGAGAGCCAGAAGCCCCCUUAGCCACAGCGGGAGCAUGUGCUGUGAGUGUGGUGAUGUUGAUUUCAAGAAUCAGAAAGAGGAGGAGAUUUACAGGAAAAUAUUGAUGAAUGUGUAUUAGCACACAGUACAUAAGUUGUGUUUGGAUCCUUUUGCCUUUUGCACGUCAGGCAGGCUUGGAAGCCCUCCCCGUACCCCGAUCGAGCAGUUUUGGUUAUGAUUUAUCCAAACCACUGCCAAAUUUCUUUUUGUAACUACUGGAUUCUAUUUGAUUGUAUUGUUUUAUCUCAAUUAAAACUGCUGCUAAAUUUUAAGUUGGUGGAUUAUUACAUUAGACGUAUGGGACCUCAUAUAUAACAUCAGAAAUAUGACUUAUUAGUUUACAAAACCAAAAUGAAUAUUAUUCAGCUAAAUUAACAAGGAAUAGAAAAGCAUUCGAGACUUAAUCACAAAGGAUAAAGUAACAGAGAUGAUGAUACUUGAUUAAAUGAAUACGUUUUACUUAAUGAGUUAAUAGCUCAGUCUCCUCUGGCUUUUGAUCCUCUCCCCAGAAGGGGAGCAGUUCUUUGAUCUUCUCUUCACGAGGGGCACAGUCCUUAGGGUUUGGUCUUGGCUUUGGCAGGGGGUGUUGUUUUUUGGAUGAUGAUGACUGCCAAAAACCCCUUAAAAUCCCUCCCAAAACCCCCAAGUCCCCACAAACCCCACCCAAACCUCCCCCCAACCCCCUCAGGUUGAAUUUUUCAUUCAUUUCAGGUAAUUUUGGGUGGAUUUUGGGGGGUUUUGGUACCUUAUGGAUACUGAAGUGGGCAUAGGAUUCAAACCCACUCAAAAUGCUCCCCUAAAAUCCCUCCAAAUACCCCCAAACCUUCUCAGGAUGGAUUUGGAGGUAAUUUUGGGUUAAUUUCAGGUAAUUUGGGGUUGA
Molecule: long non-coding RNA, 1692 nt
Organism: Serinus canaria (Common canary)
Lineage: Eukaryota; Metazoa; Chordata; Aves; Passeriformes; Fringillidae
Exons: 3
Source: RefSeq, a predicted model, not a curated record